AGGCUGCAACUCGCCUGCAUGAAGUUGGAAUUGCUAGUAAUCGCGAAUCAGAAUGUCGCGGUGAAUACGUUCCCGGGCCUUGUACACACCGCCCGUCACACCAUGAGAGUCGAUAACACCCGAAGCCUGUGAGCUAACCGCAAGGGGGCAGCAGUCGAAGGUGGGGUUGAUGAUUGGGGUGAAGUCGUAACAAGGUACC
RNAcentral lists this ribosomal RNA (199 nucleotides) under uncultured bacterium. RNAcentral describes it as "partial 16S ribosomal RNA". It matches the Rfam family "Bacterial small subunit ribosomal RNA", at positions 1302 to 1500 of the family's 1533-position model. The record is from RNAcentral.